GUUCAAUUAGUUUAUUUUAAAAUAUUGAUUUGUGAUGUCAAUGAUCUUUUUGAGAUUGAAC
This 61-nucleotide transfer RNA is filed under the name Peltonotellus sp. RNAcentral's name for it is "tRNA-His". Lineage: Eukaryota; Metazoa; Arthropoda; Insecta; Hemiptera; Caliscelidae. The record is from RNAcentral.